ACAGGUUUCAAAACCAUUAGUCAGCAUUCUGCCUGGCAGAUCUGCGCCUCGAGCUCCUGGUCCCAAGGCCAGGCACCCAGGGCCCUCAGCUCUGCUCCACAGGCCCUGGGGCCCGGCAGGGGCACAGCGUUGGAAGCCGGCUGAGCUGCAGGCUGGCGUGCUGGGGCCCGCCAGGCCUGAGGUGGCCUCAUCCGGCAGAGAUGUGUCCAGCAGGCCCAGCACCAAGAGCCAGCAAGGAAAUCUCCGGCAGCCCCUCCCCCUCCCCUUCUGACGCAGGGAGGCUCGGGCCAAUGCCGAGCCACUGGAACAGUGUCAACAAACAAGCCACUGGCCAGACAGGUGGGCCCGCCUGGGAUGCCAAUCUCAGCCCAGGCCACUGGGUCAGACAGAGAAGGGGGUCCCCAGCGGGUAGAGGCGCCCAAGCAGUCAGCACAACACCAAUGAGGUCCCUGCCCUCCCCAGCCAGGCAGCCAGGCAAGCUGGGGAAGGUCCAACACCCAGGGAAGCUAGACCAGACCCGUGCAGAAGUCUCCAGGCCCCGAUGGGCUCAGAGCUUCACGCUGGGGUGCCUGGCUCCUUCCACCCAGUUAUAUCCAUCUGGGACCAUCAAGGGCCUCCACCGUUCAGAGGCUGGGAUGGGUCAGACAGGGUGACACCGCCCCUCCCCCACACCGGUCGCCAGCCAGAGGCCUCACCUGGAAGUCAUACAGUGCCACAAUGUUCUCGUGCUUCAGCUCCUGGGACAGAAACCCAAGUUUCUCACAAUCCAGCGUCUGGGACUUGGCCAGGUUCUUCUUGUUAAUGCACUUGACCGCGACCUCCAGGUCAUGCUUCUGGAAAACCAAGCGUGGCUUUUCAAGGCUGAGGACCCCCCUCCCCUGGCUCUGGGCCUCGGACUGGAACCAAGCUCCAGAGCCCAGGCACCCAGGACCCAGGACCCAGAGACACAGGGACACAACACAGGGGCCAAGACCUGAGGACGGGAGACGGGGGACAGGAGACUCGGACACCCGAGGCUCGAGGACCCCUGGAAUGGAGACCUUGACUCCACUGGCCCACUCAUCCGUGGCAUCAGCCUGGCUGGCGCUCCACAGAGUGUGGGUGCAGCACUGGGUUUGAGUCUCGGCUCCAGAAUCUGAGCCCAGGGAGGCCGAGGGCCCAGUGUCCUUGCAAAGCUCGCCACCCCAUGGGAAUCGGGCACUAUCAGUGGCCAGCCCAGCCCCCAGGCCUCGGGGUCCCUGCUGUGCCCAGGCGGAGUCCGAGGGCCACCCCCGGGCUGGGUGAGAGCCUGAACUUGCACCACCUGAACAACAGGACACAGCCCCCUGGGGACAGGGCGCUGGCGGCCUUGAGUGGGCAGCCAGAGCCUGAGCUCCACCACCCCAAAGCAGAACAUAAAGCAAAGUGAAUGUACCUUAGUGUGGCCGGGGUGGCGGUGCACACCGUUACCCCAGCACUCUGGGAGGCCGAGGCAGGAGGGUUGUAAAUUCAAGCCCAGCCUGGGAAAAUGUGCUUGACUGUCUCAAAAUUUAAAAAGGGCUGGUGACAGAGUUCUGGGCAAAGGCCCUGGGUCCCAUCCCAGGGCUGAAAACAAGUCGUCAGGGCCCCCAAGGCCGUUCGUGGCGGGGCGCACAGAGCCAUGUGGGGGGCACAGGCCCUCGCUCCUCCCAGACAGCGGUGGCCCCGCAUCUGGGGAGUGAGAUAAAAUAGGCCAAAAGGAGCCAAGGAAAUGAGAACUUACGGAUUUAUUUAGGUUUUUUAAAACAGGUUCUCAGCUGUGGGUUUAGCUCAGCGGCGUAAGCACCUGCUUGGCAAACACGAGGUUAUGAGUUCCAUCUCUGGUACCCCAAAAACAAAUAAAUCAGUCAAUCAAAAAACAUGGUCUUGGGCCAGGGAUGAGCACCUGUCUGGUAAGCACAAAGUCCUGAGUUCAAUUCUGAGUACCAAAGAAAUAAAGCAGACUCUCACUAUGUAGCCCACGCUGGCAUUGAACUCUAGAUGAUUUUCCUGCCUCAGCCUCCUGGGUUCUGGGAUUACAGGCUUGUGCCACCAUUUGUGGCCUGUAGUCAUGUCCAAGCCCCAUUACUGUGUCCAGCUGGAUCGCCAGGUGCGUCUCCCUCCAGGGCCAUGCUGUUCCUCUGAGUGGCCACUUACCUACCAAGCCAUCCUCACUGACCGCCAGGAGCCAGCAAAGCCCAGCUGCUUCCCAGGCGGGGAGCAGGGCCUCGCAGGAGCCGUGGGUGGUGUGAGGACGGAGGCCUCUGUCCUGCACUGAGCCCUGCCCGGCUCGGGCUGGGGCUCCUCAUGGAGGGGCUCGUACUCCUGUCUGGUCCCGCGCUGGGACUCAGCCCGUGAGUGACCUUCAAGAGAUAAGGCAACUGCCACUGGCACGUGAGGGAGAGUCCUGCCAGGGCCUGGGUAUUGGCUGCGCAGUUCAGGCGGCCUUGAGCUCACUUUGAAGCCCAGGUUGGCCUCAAACUCUCAGUGAUCCUCCUGCCUCAGCCUCUGAGUGCUGGGAGCACAGGCGUGUGCCACCUCUUGGGUCCUUUAAUCCUUCCGAGGACUCCUGACGUCCUCCCCUUGUGCCAGCCCCGCCUCACACAGGGAGAGCCCUGCGUGACCCAGGACCCUCCCCGGGCACGCGCCGUGCCCGCCCUGCACCCCAGCCUGCUUUCUGCUUUCUCUGGUCCCCGCCUGUCCUUGAACCCCAGCUGCUCUCCCAUGGCAUCUCGAUGAAGCCCUGGCUGUUCCAGAGCCGGACAGCUGGAAUCCUCUCUUCCACUCAAGGGCUGAGGAGGGAGGACUGCAAGCCCAAGGCUGGCCUACCCAAAAAAGAAAGAAAGAAAAAUAAAUUUCCUCUAAAUCUU
Cavia porcellus (domestic guinea pig) is the source of this 2867-nucleotide long non-coding RNA. RefSeq lists it as uncharacterized. The transcript has 3 exons. The record is from RefSeq and is a predicted model, not a curated record. NCBI's taxonomy places the organism in Eukaryota, Metazoa, Chordata, Mammalia, Rodentia, Caviidae.